Long non-coding RNA from Triticum aestivum (bread wheat), 3794 nucleotides. RefSeq lists it as uncharacterized. The transcript has 3 exons. Lineage: Eukaryota; Viridiplantae; Streptophyta; Magnoliopsida; Poales; Poaceae. The record is from RefSeq and is a predicted model, not a curated record.
CCCUUGCUCGCACGCCGCACCCCUCCCUCCCUCCUCGAUCUCUAUCCCAGUAUCCCUCCUCACUUCCUCAGCUGCCACAGCAAGAAGCCACGAACCCUGAGCCAUCUGCCUCUCCUGCGUGUUCGUGCUCAUCGCCACCAUUCCUCCCGCUCCCCAUCGUUGCCCCGACGCCUCCACCGGCUAGCUACCAUGGAUCCAUGGGCGAUGGGAGAGUACGCCGUCGUCGACCCAUCGCUUAGGUUGGUGGCGCAUGGGUCGGGUAUGGGCAGAAGGCCGGCACCUGCGGGGGAAAACGGCGGGGGUUGGUGCAGCGGAAAAUGAGGACGGGGUUGGCCGUAGAGGGAGGCUCGCCGGCCGGAACAGCCGGAGCAAUGAGGCAGUGUCGGCCAUGGAGCGAGGCCCACUGGCCGGAGCAGCAGGAGCAACUGCAGCCGCUGGUCGGCUCGACGCACCGCCUCCUCUGCUGCGGCCCGCACGGUCGAGAGGGGCAGCUGCGCCGUAGCUGGCGGCGAGUUCAGCGGCCGCCGCCUCCUCUCCUCUUCGAAUCCACAGGUGCCUAUGCGCUCCCCUCGGUUGGGUUGUUCAUCCUUCUUCGCCGGUGGUGUGCUCGUCCGUUGCAAUAGCCUUCGUGUGCUGGAUGAACACUGCCGGUUGAGGUCUAUCUCCGUUUGUCUAGCAGGUUCAACGAUCUGCUAGGUUGCUGCAUGUGCAACUCUGUGCUGUUGUUCAAGGUUUGCUUUAUUCUUUCUUCCCUACAUGCUUGUUCUUUCUCGCUACACACAUGCUUCUCUUUCUCUAAGUACCGUAAUACUUCUGUGCUGUCUCUAGCUACAUGCAUUUACCUUUCUUUGUCGGUCUAAUUGUCUAUUGAUGAGCCAUGGUUAUGUGAACUUUAAGAUGUAAUAAUAUAUGGUGUUUAAAUUUGUAUUGUUCAUUAGCGCCUAUGAUUUUGCGCCAAAGAAUCGUCCGAUAUCCAAGUUUCUAUAUAUUUUUUACACCAUUGCAGUCCAUAGCUUGCUUCAAUCCUGUUACACAUUGGAUUGAAGAUAGGUCGUCCAUUUUUAUUGACUUUUUUUGUACAUUGUGAAGUCAUGGCCCCAGUUUAUAUUCAUGUUUAGUUUGCUCUGUAGUUCAUGUAUGCUCUGUAAAGAGCAUGUACAGCUAAUGGGUUUAAUUCGUUUGUUCCUUUUUUAGAUGUUCCGUAUCAGUGCAUAAUUCAACUUGAUCCAUACAGUGCCAGUGAUUUUGUAAGAUUUGCCCAUAUCUUUUGUGAGGAAAUAAUUAUGCUUCAGGAAGAUGCUAAAUAAGCUGGUCAGCUCUGGGGCAAAAGGUCAGCCAAUCUGCUUGGCUGUUCCUCCCAAGGUGGUGAGAGAUUGCUUGUUGCAGACUACAUGCCUAGAAAGACAUAUCUUCCACUGUGAUUUUGUUAACUGCUUGUGAGCAGGCCACUACUUUACAAAGUUUACUACAGCAGCAAGGACGCUAUGCUUUGAAUAGUUGAGCCGCCCUUUGUUUUUUCGUCCAUGGGCAGAGUGGGUGGAGUUCUAGCGCCUCAGGAUGUCAAGGUAUAGGGAUGUAACCUGAUCCUUAUUUCACAGUAUGUUUCUGUUCUUACGAUAAGUGACUCAUGUUUCUUCUGUGUAAUGCUAGGAUAAAGUUUGAUUUUCUCUGUACUACUCCAACUUGGUCCUAUCUCUUAACUACAAAAAUUUUAUGUAUCGUCUUAAUUUAGAUUUUAUUAUUAUUAGAAUUAGAUGGUGUGCAUUGAAUAUGAAAAUAGGGCCAAGUACUGCUAUGGCGUAUAUCCUAUUGAAGCUCACUGUUGAUCUCUUUGUAGCUUAUAAAAGAUAGUUAUAUCAUUUUACUGGAUGUAUAAUCAGAAAGGUGGGCCAACAAACUGUAACAUGUGACAUAAAACAUGAUAAUGCAGGCUUCCUUUAUUUUUUUCCAUGGGCAGAGUGGGUGGAGGUACACAGCCUCAAGAUGUCAAGGAAUCUGAUCCUUAUUUGACAGUGAACUUAGAAGGGUUUUCCAUCUUAUAAUAUGAUAAUGCAGGAUUCCUUAGCUUGACCAGAAUUUAGCAUUUUGGUAUUGCUUCCUUACCAUGCAAUGUAGGCUUCAGCACCAUUUUUAAAAUAUAAGCCAUCAUUUGUGCCGGUCCUUAUCAAGCAGUUCCUUAUCAAGUAAACAUUAGCACAGUCCUGAUUAUCCAGUUGAGAAAUCUUUAUUUUAAUUGCGGUAAGUAAUGUAGGCUGCAAGAGUUGUCUUUUAAGUAAUGCAAAUUCUUCUGUCAGUAGCUAAUGCUUUUUAGAUAUUUUGAUUUCCCAUUCUUUUGUAGCUCUGUUCAUUUUUGUCGCUGGUUUACAUUUGUUUUAUAUCUUUCUCAUUCUGUUCAUAGCAUUUUGUCAUGUUUCUUCCUUUUUACAGAGCUAUUUUGAUGUUGUGUCAAGAAUUUUGGCUAAUUGAUGGCUCAAAUGAUUGCAAGCAUAUGAUCUUGUCGGCUUUAGUGAUUGCAGGCACAUCGACUACAGGAAAACGUAGCCACUGAAGAUUCUUGCUUCCCUUUUUUGUUUUGGUGAAAUUGCAGUCAAGCUACUUACAUACGACUCUUAUCAGGGCAUUCGAGAAUUCUCAAAUUGGGUCUGCUUCUGUUUUAGCCUGAUUUAUGUUUCUACUGUAGGUGUUGCUCUAUGGCAGUACAUACUUUAUGCACUAUUGAAGAGAUAAGAACAGUGUGCUACCUAUUUAUGCUUUUAGUAUGGCUUGAUAGACCGAUGCCCUGUUGUGGAACUGAUAUUGUUUUUUCUUUAUGAUGGAACAAAUGAUGGUUUGAUCUAUGCGCAGUUGCAUUGUUUAUUUCUCAACUGGUGGAGAUCGAAUUUAAUAAUUAUAUUGACAUGCCCCGGUGCCUUUUGUUAUUGUAGUUGCCUAAUUAUUGUUAUCUACUUCCUCUGAUCCAAAAUAAGUGUAGUGGUUUGAACUAAAACCAUGGCAUUUAUUUUGGAUUGGAGGGAGUACCAUUUUUGUUCUUCUGCAACAUAGCAUGUGCAGUACUAUACUCCUUAUUAUGCAUGCUAAGGCGCUAUGCAUGACUUCGGAAGAUUAACAUUUCCAAAUUUUACUGUCGAGUUGUAUGGUCUAUACAUGUUAUACAAAUAUGUUUUUUUCAAACUCAGAUUUCUCGGUGAGAUAACCAUAUUUUUCAACCAAAAAAAUGCUUCCCUAACUGGUCUAUACAUGUAAUACAAAUAUGAUUUCUUUUUCAAACUAAGAUUUCUCAGCGUGAUUAACAUAUUUUCAAUAUAGCAUUAUUUAACACAUGGGCUUUCUACUAUCAAUAUCAAAUGUGUCCUUGCAAAAUGAAACUAUUUUCAUUGACAACAUGGCUUUAGUGGGUCUCUGCGCCAUUUGGCGCAACGGGUCAACUAGUAUAAUAUAUAGAGAGAUGGCAUAGCGCUCAAAGGAUACAUAUACCACCAGGUAGCACUAUUCUUGGAAUGUGGCGUCAGCAUUACAGGCAGAAGCUGAGGCGUGUGCUGCUGUCCUUGAGGCAGCGUCAAACUGGGGAAUGACAGAAGUCCAGGUUGAGCUCGAUUGUCAUUGCCUAGUGAAAGCCCUGCAAGACAGUGAUGCGGAUUUGGCUGCUGAGGGUAUCUUAUUCAGAGAAAUCCAACACUUUGCCCCUCUAAACUUCAAUCGCGUCUCCUUUUCGUUUGCCCCGAGGGCCUGUAAAAACUUAGCUCAUGUAAUAGCAGCGUUUGGUGCUCGUAGGCUUGUUCGUCGGGAACUAUGGC